This 253-nucleotide ribosomal RNA is filed under the name uncultured bacterium. Its description in RNAcentral is "partial 16S ribosomal RNA". It matches the Rfam family "Bacterial small subunit ribosomal RNA", at positions 524 to 776 of the family's 1533-position model. The record is from RNAcentral.
UACGUAGGGUGCGAGCGUUAAUCGGAAUUACUGGGCGUAAAGCGUGCGCAAGCGGUUCGUUAAGUCAGAUGUGAAAGCCCCGGGCUCAACCUGGGAACUGCAUUUGAAACUGGCGGGCUUGAGUGUGGCAGAGGGGGGUGGAAUUCCGCGUGUAGCAGUGAAAUGCGUAGAGAUGCGGAGGAACACCGAUGGCGAAGGCAGCCCCCUGGGCCAACACUGACGCUCAGGCACGAAAGCGUGGGGAGCAAACAGG